RNAcentral lists this unclassified non-coding RNA (345 nucleotides) under soil metagenome. Its description in RNAcentral is "partial contains 5.8S ribosomal RNA, internal transcribed spacer 2, and large subunit ribosomal RNA". The stretch from base 1 to 119 matches the Rfam family "5.8S ribosomal RNA", at positions 35 to 154 of the family's 154-position model. The record is from RNAcentral.
GAUGAAGAACGCAGCGAAAUGCGAUACGUAAUGUGAAUUGCAAAUCCAGUGAAUCAUCGAGUCUUUGAACGCACAUUGCGCCCCCUGGUAUUCCGGGGGGCAUGCCUGUCCGAGCGUCAUUGCUGCCCUCAAGCACGGCUUGUGUGUUGGGCCCCGUCCUCCGAUCCCGGGGGACGGGCCCGAAAGGCAGCGGCGGCACCGCGUCCGGUCCUCGAGCGUAUGGGGCUUUGUCACCCGCUCUGUAGGCCCGGCCGGCGCUUGCCGAUCAACCCAAAUUUUUAUCCAGGUUGACCUCGGAUCAGGUAGGGAUACCCGCUGAACUUAAGCAUAUCAAUAAGCGGAGGA